CGUGAGGUAGAGUAGUUGGUUAGCUCAGUGGACUCAUAAUCCACAGGUCGCAGGUUCGAGUCCUGCCCUCGCUA
Molecule: transfer RNA, 74 nt
Filed under: Aestuariibaculum marinum
Lineage: Bacteria; Pseudomonadati; Bacteroidota; Flavobacteriia; Flavobacteriales; Flavobacteriaceae
Rfam family: tRNA
About the family: Transfer RNA (tRNA) molecules are approximately 80 nucleotides in length. Their secondary structure includes four short double-helical elements and three loops (D, anti-codon, and T loops). Further hydrogen bonds mediate the characteristic L-shaped molecular structure. tRNAs have two regions of fundamental functional importance: the anti-codon, which is responsible for specific mRNA codon recognition, and the 3' end, to which the tRNAs corresponding amino acid is attached (by aminoacyl-tRNA synthetases). tRNAs cope with the degeneracy of the genetic code in two manners: having more than one tRNA (with a specific anti-codon) for a particular amino acid; and 'wobble' base-pairing, i.e. permitting non-standard base-pairing at the 3rd anti-codon position.
Source: Rfam by way of RNAcentral